CGUGGCCGUAUUGCGGGGCCGAGGCCUUAAAAGGCUGGACCCGCACUCACCCUUACUUCACAAGCUCCUCCCUGAAAGCAAAACGGGCCUUCUGAGACCAGGAACGAACUCAAUCCCGAGUUGGCCAGGAUCCAGGUGGGCCAGCCGCGCGUCUCUUGCCCGGCACCUAGCUCGGUUCCCACGGAAAGACCCCCGUCUCUCGUCCCAAGCCCCACAGGGUCCCCUCGCCGCAGGAUGCCCCCCGAUUGUCGCGCCCGGGC
This 260-nucleotide long non-coding RNA is filed under the name Homo sapiens (human). RNAcentral's name for it is "non-protein coding lnc-NDST1-1:4". The record is from RNAcentral. Lineage: Eukaryota; Metazoa; Chordata; Mammalia; Primates; Hominidae.